CUAGUCCUUAGAGCCACCGACCCGUCUGUCCCAAACCACAAAGGUGAAGAGAUUAAUAUUCAUAUGUCCGAGCUGCACCCACCUCUUCCACCCUCUCCCUUAUUGUCCUCCAGGGGGGAGCCUCACAGCUGUAACCCAGGACUGGGGUUAAUUGAUGGGCCUGAGAUUCCCUCCGUCAGGGCUGGCUGCUAGUCAGCCAGUGUAAAAGUAUUAAUAAUGAAAAAUGACGGCGCCAGUGUUUCCUCGUGCAUGUAGGAAAUGAGCUUCUCUUAAUUAGGCCCCAGAGCUCCUUAACGUGUGUAAUGAGCUUCUUCUCUCUGUGUGCUGACUGUCACAGGGCCAGAGCCGGCGCCCUCACUACACCACCACCACUGUCCAUCCAGAUUGGACAAUGGAUAGACGACACAGCUUCUCAGUUAUGGUGAUGGUGAUAACCGGGAAAACAGAUCUGCAAGUCUGACUCAUCCAGGGAUAAACAUCAGGGAACAUCACCAUGUACGGCGUCCAUAUUAGGACAGCCUUAAUCUCAGCAGGACUUUCCUAAUAUGGAUACCUCAACAAUGGACUGACUAAGAGCCCAAGUCAAUAAAUAUUAUACUGAGAUCUGCUUGUCUCAGCCUCAGUCCUGCUGAAUCCCGAGAACACAGGAGCUACAGAGAUGGAGGGAAAACGGGGCGAAUCGAUUUGGAAAAUAAUGAACUACACACUGAGCAAUAUCAGGAGGAUUUGGCCUCGGUUAUAUCUCCUUAUUUUUCUGAUGUUAUCUGCAGCGGUAUGGCGGACAGCCUGAAGAGAGAGGCGCCGCUUUCCACCGACUGCCAGGUCCCGAAACACCUGCCCCUUCUCACCUGGAGGUUCUACUGCAGUCGAUGAAACACACACACACGCUCUCUCACACAC
Coregonus clupeaformis (lake whitefish) is the source of this 900-nucleotide long non-coding RNA. RefSeq lists it as uncharacterized. The record is from RefSeq and is a predicted model, not a curated record. NCBI's taxonomy places the organism in Eukaryota, Metazoa, Chordata, Actinopteri, Salmoniformes, Salmonidae. The transcript has 3 exons.